RNAcentral lists this small nuclear RNA (22 nucleotides) under Arabidopsis thaliana (thale cress). Its description in RNAcentral is "snRNA_03958". The record is from RNAcentral. Lineage: Eukaryota; Viridiplantae; Streptophyta; Magnoliopsida; Brassicales; Brassicaceae.
AUUCACAAACUAUGGUAUUUAU